Molecule: ribosomal RNA, 358 nt
Filed under: uncultured bacterium
Lineage: Bacteria
Description: bacterial SSU rRNA
Rfam family: Bacterial small subunit ribosomal RNA
Source: RNAcentral
UCCAUCCAGUGGCAACACUGGGGAAGACCUAGUGGCGAACGGGUGAGUAACACGUGAGGAACCUGCCCCGAAGACCGGGAUAAGCCGGGGAAACCUGGUCUAAUACCGGAUGUCCUCACCGAACCGCAUGAUUCGGUGAGGAAAUGGAUUCCGCUUCGGGAGGGUCUCGCGGCCUAUCAGCUUGUUGGUGGGGUAACGGCCCACCAAGGCUUCGACGGGUAGCUGGUCUGAGAGGACGAUCAGCCACACUGGGACUGAGACACGGCCCAGACUCCUACGGGAGGCAGCAGUGGGGAAUCUUGCGCAAUGGGCGAAAGCCUGACGCAGCAACGCCGCGUGGGGGAUGAAGGCCUUCGGG